This is a long non-coding RNA of Trachemys scripta elegans, 1251 nucleotides long. RefSeq lists it as uncharacterized. The transcript has 3 exons. The record is from RefSeq and is a predicted model, not a curated record. NCBI's taxonomy places the organism in Eukaryota, Metazoa, Chordata, Testudines, Emydidae.
AUGAGUAGGCGUUCUUAGGCAUAUGAACCCCUGUAUAGAGAAAAUGAUUGGUUAGUGUUUUUUGCAUAGAAAUGCUUUGAGUAAAAUAAUUGGUUAAGGUAUUGAUAAGAAGACCUCUCAUUUUAAUUAUAUAAUAAGGAUCAGGAAACAAGCUCAUUAGAACUUAACUCUGGGAUACAGCUCAAGACCAAAGCUGCUAGGAUUUUUAACUGCUGCACAACUAGAUUAUGUGGAAGAUGGAGCCCUGAAUGAGAUCAAAUCCUGACUAGCCAUUGGGAGACAUCAGUCUGCUUUAUUGGGAGUGUUAGAAGCCAAUUACAGUUAAAAAAGAAUCUACAAAGACAGAUGUGAGUCUUGGACUUCAGCCAGCCAAGAUACUACAUCAUUGGGACAGAUCCAGCUUUACACUAACCUCCAGGAUCCAUGACAGACUUGUAAUACGCUGUGGCUGAUGAGAUGGGAGAAAACCCAGAGAAACAGGUUUUCCCUAUAGGAGAGUAUAACCAUAAUCAGCACCCUGCAGAAGAAUCACCCACAGAGAGCUUUUAAAAGGAAGCAUUAAAGACAGAAAACAUGCAACAACCAAAACUUUUUCAAAUGCAAAUAUGAAAGCACAUGGAUGAGCUGAAAACCACAUACAGAAACACUACAGAGCAAGCACUGCUGAAGCUGGCAUUGCAUAUCUUCCUUUUGAAGUGACCAAGGGCUUUUUGUUUGCUUGCUUUUAAAAAAAGACCAUCAGACCUAAAAGAUCUAAUUUACUAAGUCUCUGGAGACUUAACAUGAUGCAAAAACAGACAUCACAGGAAAUAAAAUAGAUAUAUGCUAAGACAUCUAGACAGACCACCUCUGAAUAGCUCACACUAUGGCCAUCUCCUCAGCUUCAUGUAGAGAACUACCCUGGAAAAGUACUGUGAUAAGAUACUUCUUCUACACAGCAGUUACCAUUAACAAAAUGACCUUCUGUGUCCUUUGCUAGAGAAGCUGGGGGAAUAGAAGUCGCCACAUACACAUUUUCUGAGACUUCCCUCAGAUUCAAACAUUCUGGACACACAUGGCCAAUAGCCUGCACAAAACCCUAUCCAUAUAGAGCUAACAAACAAAUUUAGUAAAUACUGGGAAAUACCCUGCUAUCUGGUACUUGUGUGGUUCCCAUGGUCAUAAUAUCUGAUCAUCUCAUAGAUAUUAAUGAAUUAAACCUCACAAAAACUGUUAUCUGAUUAUCUGUGUGACAUUGGGCUAGUCACUUAA